RNAcentral lists this unclassified non-coding RNA (343 nucleotides) under soil metagenome. RNAcentral describes it as "partial contains 5.8S ribosomal RNA, internal transcribed spacer 2, and large subunit ribosomal RNA". The stretch from base 1 to 120 matches the Rfam family "5.8S ribosomal RNA", at positions 35 to 154 of the family's 154-position model. The record is from RNAcentral.
GAUGAAGAACGCAGUGAAAUGCGAUAAGUAAUGUGAAUUGCAGAAUUCAGUGAAUCAUCGAAUCUUUGAACGCACAUUGCGCCAGCUAGUACUCUGGCGGGCAUGCCUGUCCGAGCGUCAUUUCAACCCUCAAGCCCCCGGGCUUGGUGUUGGGGAUCGGCGAGCCUCCGCGCCCGCCGUCCCCUAAAUCUAGUGGCGGUCUCGCUGUAGCUUCCUCUGCGUAGUAGCACACCUCGCACUGGGAAACAGCGCGGCCACGCCGUUAAACCCCCAACUUCUGAACGUUUGACCUCGGAUCAGGUAGGAAUACCCGCUGAACUUAAGCAUAUCAAUAAGCGGAGGA